ACAUGCAAGUUGAGCGCUGAAGGUUGGUACUUGUACCGACUGGNAUGAGCAGCGAACGGGUGAGUAACGCGUGGGGAAUCUGCCUUUGAGCGGGGGACAACAUUUGGAAACGAAUGCUAAUACCGCAUAAAAACUUUAAACACAAGUUUUAAGUUUGAAAGAUGCAAUUGCAUCACUCAAAGAUGAUCCCGCGUUGUAUUAGCUAGUUGGUGAGGUAAAGGCUCACCAAGGCGAUGAUACAUAGCCGACCUGAGAGGGUGAUCGGCCACU
RNAcentral lists this ribosomal RNA (270 nucleotides) under Lactococcus lactis. RNAcentral's name for it is "partial 16S ribosomal RNA". It matches the Rfam family "Bacterial small subunit ribosomal RNA", at positions 53 to 312 of the family's 1533-position model. The record is from RNAcentral. Lineage: Bacteria; Bacillati; Bacillota; Bacilli; Lactobacillales; Streptococcaceae.